Small nucleolar RNA from Ochotona princeps (American pika), 120 nucleotides. The record is from Ensembl. Lineage: Eukaryota; Metazoa; Chordata; Mammalia; Lagomorpha; Ochotonidae.
CUUCUGUGAGGAGGCGAUGACGAGGCUGACCGGGGCGUGCUCUCUCCCCCGGGGUUGGCGUUUUGCGACCCCGGGAAAGAACCUUCCCGAAGAUGACCUCGAGGCAUUUGUCUGAGAAGG